UGAGGAAUAUUGGACAAUGGAUGGAAAUCUGAUCCAGCCAUGCCGCGUGCAGGAAGAAGGUCCUAUGGAUUGUAAACUGCUUUUGUACGGGAGCAAUAAGGGCUAUGCGUAGUUCGAUGAGAGUACCGUACGAAUAAGGAUCGGCUAACUCCGUGCCAGCAGCCGCGGUAAUACGGAGGAUCCGAGCGUUAUCCGGAUUUAUUGGGUUUAAAGGGUGCGUAGGCGGUUCAAUAAGUCAGUGGUGAAAGUUGUCGGCUUAACCGGAAAAUUGCCGUGGAUACUGUUGGGCUUGAAUUUGGUUGCGGUGAGUGGAAUGUGUGGUGUAGCGGUGAAAUGCUUAGAUAUCACACAGAAUACCGAUUGCGAAGGCAUCUCACUAGGCCAAUAUUGACGCUGAUGCACGAAAGUGUGGGGAUCAAACA
This 422-nucleotide ribosomal RNA is filed under the name uncultured prokaryote. RNAcentral's name for it is "bacterial SSU rRNA". It matches the Rfam family "Bacterial small subunit ribosomal RNA", at positions 355 to 774 of the family's 1533-position model. The record is from RNAcentral.